RNAcentral lists this ribosomal RNA (477 nucleotides) under uncultured bacterium. Its description in RNAcentral is "partial 16S ribosomal RNA". It matches the Rfam family "Bacterial small subunit ribosomal RNA", at positions 28 to 523 of the family's 1533-position model. The record is from RNAcentral.
GACGAACGCUGGCGGCAUGCCUAACACAUGCAAGUCGAGCGAGUUGAUCCCUUCGGGGUGAAGCUAGCGGCGGACGGGUGAGUAACACGUGGGCAACCUGCCUCAUAGAGGGGAAUAGCCUACCGAAAGGAAGAUUAAUACCGCAUAAGAUUGUAGCUUCGCAUGAAGCAGCAAUUAAAGGAGCAAUCCGCUAUGAGAUGGGCCCGCGGCGCAUUAGGUAGUUGGUGAGGUAACGGCUCACCAAGGCGACGAUGCGUAGCCGACCUGAGGGGGGGAUCGGCCACAUUGGGACUGAGACACGGCCCAGACUCCGUCGGGAGGCAGCAGUGGGGAAUAUUGCACAAUGGGGGAAACCCUGAUGCAGCAAUGCCGCGUGAGUGGUGACGGCCUUCGGGUUGUAAGCUCUGUCUUCGGGGACGAUAAUGACGGUACCCGAGGAGGAAGCCACGGCUAACUACGUGCCAGCAGCCGCGGUAA